RNAcentral lists this ribosomal RNA (2930 nucleotides) under Staphylococcus saprophyticus. RNAcentral describes it as "23S ribosomal RNA". It matches the Rfam family "Bacterial large subunit ribosomal RNA". Lineage: Bacteria; Bacillati; Bacillota; Bacilli; Caryophanales; Staphylococcaceae. The record is from RNAcentral.
AGAUUAAGUUAUUAAGGGCGCACGGUGGAUGCCUUGGCACUAGAAGCCGACGAAGGACGUUACUAACGACGAUAUGCUUUGGGGAGCUGUAAGUAAGCUUUGAUCCAGAGAUUUCCGAAUGGGGAAACCCAGCACGAGUUAUGUCGUGUUAUCGAUAUGUGAAUACAUAGCAUAUCUGAAGGCAGACGCGGAGAACUGAAACAUCUUAGUACCCGCAGGAAGAGAAAGAAAAAUCGAUUCCCUGAGUAGCGGCGAGCGAAACGGGAAGAGCCCAAACCAAUGAGCUUGCUUGUUGGGGUUGUAGGACACUCUAUACGGAGUUACAAAAGAACAGACUAGACGAAUCAUCUGGAAAGAUGAAUCAAAGAAGGUAAUAAUCCUGUAGUCGAAAGUUUGUUCACUCUUGAGUGGAUCCUGAGUACGACGGAACACGAGAAAUUCCGUCGGAAUCUGGGAGGACCAUCUCCCAAGGCUAAAUACUCUCUAGUGACCGAUAGUGAACCAGUACCGUGAGGGAAAGGUGAAAAGUACCCCGGAAGGGGAGUGAAAUAGAACUUGAAACCGUGUGCUUACAAGUAGUCAGAGCCCGUUAAUGGGUGAUGGCGUGCCUUUUGUAGAAUGAACCGGCGAGUUACGAUUUGAUGCAAGGUUAAGCAGUGAAUGUGGAGCCGUAGCGAAAGCGAGUCUGAAUAGGGCGUUGAGUAUUUGGUCGUAGACCCGAAACCAGGUGAUCUACCCAUGACCAGGUUGAAGUUCAGGUAACACUGAAUGGAGGACCGAACCGACUUACGUUGAAAAGUGAGCGGAUGAGUUGUGGGUAGCGGAGAAAUUCCAAUCGAACCUGGAGAUAGCUGGUUCUCUCCGAAAUAGCUUUAGGGCUAGCCUCAAGUGAUGAUUAUUGGAGGUAGAGCACUGUUUGGACGAGGGGCCCUUAUCGGGUUACCGAAUUCAGACAAACUCCGAAUGCCAAUCAAUUUAACUUGGGAGUCAGAACGCGGGUGAUAAGGUCCGUGUUCGAAAGGGAAACAGCCCAGACCACCAGCUAAGGUCCCAAAAUAUAUGUUAAGUGGAAAAGGAUGUGGCGUUGCCCAGACAACUAGGAUGUUGGCUUAGAAGCAGCCAUCAUUUAAAGAGUGCGUAAUAGCUCACUAGUCGAGUGACACUGCGCCGAAAAUGUACCGGGGCUAAACAUAUUACCGAAGCUGUGGAUUGUCCGUAAGGACAAUGGUAGGAGAGCGUUCUAAGGGCGUUGAAGCAUGAUCGCAAGGACAUGUGGAGCGCUUAGAAGUGAGAAUGCCGGUGUGAGUAGCGAAAGACGGGUGAGAAUCCCGUCCACCGAUUGACUAAGGUUUCCAGAGGAAGGCUCGUCCGCUCUGGGUUAGUCGGGUCCUAAGCUGAGGCCGAUAGGCGUAGGCGAUGGAUAACAGGUUGAUAUUCCUGUACCACCAUUAUUCGUUUUAAGCGAUGGGGGGACGCAGUAGGAUAGGCGAAGCGUACGAUUGGAUUGUACGUCCAAGCAGUGAGAUUGAGUGUUAGGCAAAUCCGGCACUCUUAAGAUUGAGCUGUGAUGGGGAGAGGAAAUUGUUUCCUCGAGUCGUUGAUUUCACACUGCCAAGAAAAGCCUCUAGCUAGAAUUGUGGUGCCCGUACCGCAAACCGACACAGGUAGUCAAGAUGAGAAUUCUAAGGUGAGCGAGCGAACUCUCGUUAAGGAACUCGGCAAAAUGACCCCGUAACUUCGGGAGAAGGGGUGCUCUUUAGGGUUAACGCCCAGGAGAGCCGCAGUGAAUAGGCCCAAGCGACUGUUUAUCAAAAACACAGGUCUCUGCUAAACCGUAAGGUGAUGUAUAGGGGCUGACGCCUGCCCGGUGCUGGAAGGUUAAGAGGAGUGGUUAGCUUCUGCGAAGCUACGAAUCGAAGCCCCAGUAAACGGCGGCCGUAACUAUAACGGUCCUAAGGUAGCGAAAUUCCUUGUCGGGUAAGUUCCGACCCGCACGAAAGGCGUAACGAUUUGGGCACUGUCUCAACGAGAGACUCGGUGAAAUCAUAGUACCUGUGAAGAUGCAGGUUACCCGCGACAGGACGGAAAGACCCCGUGGAGCUUUACUGUAGUCUGAUAUUGAAAUUCGGCACAGCUUGUACAGGAUAGGUAGGAGCCUGAGAUACGUGAGCGCUAGCUUACGUGGAGGCGUUGGUGGGAUACUACCCUCGCUGUGUUGGAUUUCUAACCCGCACCAUUUAUCAUGGUGGGAGACAGUGUCAGAUGGGCAGUUUGACUGGGGCGGUCGCCUCCUAAAGAGUAACGGAGGCGCUCAAAGGUUUCCUCAGAAUGGUUGGAAAUCAUUCAUAGAGUGUAAAGGCAUAAGGAAGCUUGACUGCGAGACUUACAAGUCGAGCAGGGUCGAAAGACGGACUUAGUGAUCCGGUGGUUCCGCAUGGAAGGGCCAUCGCUCAACGGAUAAAAGCUACCCCGGGGAUAACAGGCUUAUCUCCCCCAAGAGUUCACAUCGACGGGGAGGUUUGGCACCUCGAUGUCGGCUCAUCGCAUCCUGGGGCUGUAGUCGGUCCCAAGGGUUGGGCUGUUCGCCCAUUAAAGCGGUACGCGAGCUGGGUUCAGAACGUCGUGAGACAGUUCGGUCCCUAUCCGUCGUGGGCGUAGGAAAUUUGAGAGGAGCUGUCCUUAGUACGAGAGGACCGGGAUGGACAUACCUCUGGUGUACCAGUUGUCGUGCCAACGGCAUCGCUGGGUAGCUAUGUAUGGACGGGAUAAGUGCUGAAAGCAUCUAAGCAUGAAGCCCCCCUCAAGAUGAGAUUUCCCAACUUCGGUUAUAAGAUCCCUCAAAGAUGAUGAGGUUAAUAGGUUCGAGGUGGAAGCAUAGCGAUAUGUGCAGCUGACGAAUACUAAUCGAUCGAAGACUUAAUCAAAUUUUA